AGAAAGUGGAGCAAUCCAUGAGUAAAGUGGCGUACGGGUGAGUAACACGUGGGUAAUCUACCUUUUGGUGGGGAAUAACCCUGGGAAACCGGGGCUAAUACCGCAUAAGCUCGAAAGAGGAAAAGAGAAAUUUGCCGAAAGAGGAGCCCGCGGCUGAUUAGCUAGUUGGUGAGGUAAAGGCUCACCAAGGCGAAGAUCGGUAGCCGGCCUGAGAGGGCACACGGCCACACUGGCACUGAAACACGGGCCAGACUCCUACGGGAGGCAGCAGUGGGGAAUCUUGCACAAUGGGGGAAACCCUGAUGCAGCGACGCCGCGUGAGCGAUGAAGCCCUUCGGGGUGUAAAGCUCUUUCGGCCCGAACGAUAAUGACGGUACGGGAAGAAGAAGCUGCGGCUAACUACGUGCCAGCAGCCGCGGUAAUACGUAGGCAGCGAGCGUUGUUCGGAGUUACUGGGCGUAAAGCGUGCGUAGGCGGUUUUGUAAGUUUGGUGUGAAAUCUCCCGGCUCAACUGGGAGGGUGCGCCGAAAACUGCAAGGCUGGAGUGUGGGAGAGGUAGGCGGAAUUCCUGGUGUAGCGGUGAAAUGCGUAGAUAUCAGGAGGAACACCUGUGGUGUAGACGGCUUACUGGACCAUGACUGACGCUGAGGCACGAGAGCGUGGGGAGCAAACAGGAUUAGAUACCCUGGUAGUCCACGCCCUAAACGAUGCAUACUUGGUGUAGGCAGUUCAUUCUGUCUGUGCCGGAGCUAACGCGUUAA
RNAcentral lists this ribosomal RNA (761 nucleotides) under uncultured Acidobacteriota bacterium. RNAcentral describes it as "bacterial SSU rRNA". It matches the Rfam family "Bacterial small subunit ribosomal RNA", at positions 69 to 863 of the family's 1533-position model. Lineage: Bacteria; Pseudomonadati; Acidobacteriota. The record is from RNAcentral.